This 253-nucleotide ribosomal RNA is filed under the name uncultured bacterium. Its description in RNAcentral is "partial 16S ribosomal RNA". It matches the Rfam family "Bacterial small subunit ribosomal RNA", at positions 524 to 776 of the family's 1533-position model. The record is from RNAcentral.
UACGAAGGGGGCUAGCGUUGUUCGGAAUUACUGGGCGUAAAGCGCGCGCAGGCGGUUUUUCAAGUCAGUGGUGAAAGCCCGGAGCUCAACUCCGGAAAUGCCAUUGAAACUGUAAAACUUGAGGACGAGAGAGGUGAGUGGAAUUCCCAGUGUAGAGGUGAAAUUCGUAGAUAUUCGGAAGAACACCAGUGGCGAAGGCGACUCACUGGACACAUAUUGACGUUGAGGUGCGAAAGCGUGGGGAGCAAACAGG